UGAAUGUCUGUGUAGCCUG
This 19-nucleotide non-coding RNA is filed under the name Mus musculus (house mouse). The record is from RNAcentral. Lineage: Eukaryota; Metazoa; Chordata; Mammalia; Rodentia; Muridae.